CAGAAGGAGGAGGAGGAGGAGGAAAAAAUGUUGGUAAAACUGCUAUAGGAGGAUGUUCAGUCCAUGGCACUGGAAGAAAUUGAAGAAGUUGGGGUCUGGCAAUCUGGAGUAGUCACCCUGGUUUAAUCUGGUGCCGAUGAGAAGCUCACAAAGAAGGCAUGGAUGCAAUCACAACUUCCUUUUCAUAUAUUCCCCAGCAGCUGAUACUUGGAGGCAUUACUGAAGCUGCCCUAAUUUUGCCUACAACCGUGGGAUUUCAUGGUGAUAUUUCAAACGGGUACUACCCCGCUCUAAGAACCCUGCUUAGUUUGGGGGAUCAGACAAAGCCAAGAGCGGCCUCUUCCAGUCACGAGCGCUGAAAAGAUUCAUGCGCCAGCUGCUCUCUUCUCCACUGGGGUCAGGUGAGAACCUUUUUAAAAACCCUCCGAUGCCUUUUCGGCUUUCAAGGUUUCAUUGUUUUAAACUGCUGCUUUUCACUGCUGUUUUAUUGCCUGUUUUUAUGUUCCUAGUCUGUUUUUAUGGUGGCUGGUCUUGUUCAUUGCCCCAGGAACUAAUUACUUGAAUGGCAGUAUUUAAAUAUACUACAUAAAGGCCCCUCUUCUUAAGGAAGGAAAUGCAGUCUUGGAGAGAGGAGGUUUAGCUCAGCUCUACAAUUAUGGUCCGUUUCUCUCUCUCCUCCAACUCUGACCUUUUCAGUUCUUUGCGAUGGCUAAAUAUAUGUUUUAUAAUGCAACUUUCAUUCCUUUGCAAAUGCGCUAGAACAGAUGGAUAAAGAAUGAUUUUCUGCUUCGAAAGUACCUCAGAUUUUCAGGAAGCCAGAGGCUGGGGGAGGGGAGCCACAGUAAAUGGCAGCCUAGCAGUAUAAAAACUGAUCUGUUCUCAAAAAGGGGAUGCUUUCACCCUUAGCUGGCAGUUGUUGACACCGUUAUUCAUAUGUGCAACUGAUGUUUUGCUUUUUGUUUUCCUAAACAGAUAAGAAAGUGAUGGCUCUGUUGCCAUGGGACAAGGGCCUCAAAGUGCUCUGGAGCUUAAAAGGUUACAGGGACAUUCUCUGUAUUAGAUCAGAGUUGUUCCCAACUUGAUCGUGCUGUGAAAAAAGUGUAUCAAAAUCACACCCUUGGAAAAUGGUAGGCCUUGAAGAAAUUGAGCAAUCAGCUAUAAAAGUCUGAUUUCCCAAGUGGGUGUUAUAAUAAAUUUAAAAGCUAACUCAUUAAUUGGUCUCAAAUUGACAUGGGAAACUGAUUUCCAGAAAGCCAUGGAUGAAACAGAACAGAAUAAAAUAGGGGGUCAGAAACCAAGUUUUCCUUCCUCAGCUAAAAUCAAGGACAGUUUGUUAAUUUUUCUCCCUAGACCCCUCCAAGUUAGUACAUAUGAAGACAAAGACAACCAACCCCUUUGGCCGGAAUGGGUUAAGGCAAAUGUAUUUCAACUCAGAUGUAUGACUUGUCUCCAAAUUUCUUCCUUCUGGUUGGAAAUAUUUUUAGAAAUGAGUAAGUAACAGAAAACAUGCUUGAGCUCACAAUUACGACUGUUAAAUUUGUCCUUCAGAGUCAAAUUGGGAUUUAACAUCUAACAAUUGGUUGUUUUCAUGCUAACGGCUGCUGGAAUGUCUCUAGACAAACAUGGAAAAAAAAACUAAGACCUUCAGUAUUUGGUAUUGACAUGUGUGGGUAUAGUGCCAUAGCUGAAAAACUAACUUUCAGUACUCAGUUAUGACAAGGCAGAGUUAAACCACUUACUUUUUUUAGUCAGGAGACAUAGUUGUUUUUAUUUUGCAAAUUUUAAAAAAUCAACUGAGUUUCCCCAGGGAUUGUCUAUGAGUUUGGUAAAAAGUUCAAGGAGAUUUGUGAGGAAAAUUAUUUUUGGUGACAUGUCAUACCUUUCCUUCUCCUCUUUUUAACAGCAUUGUUAGAGACCCAUAUAUGAAUACAAAUAUUUCAGCGGUGUAUUUUUUGUGAUAUUUUUAUAUUUUAAGUUUGGAUUUAGUAUGUGAAAUGUUAAGGUUUAAUAAAAUGAAUAUUUAAAAAGAAAAGAGCAAGCAAGACAAUCCUUUCUAAUUUGAAGAGGUAUAUUCCCAUU
This is a non-coding RNA of Python bivittatus (Burmese python), 2079 nucleotides long. NCBI's taxonomy places the organism in Eukaryota, Metazoa, Chordata, Lepidosauria, Squamata, Pythonidae. The record is from RefSeq and is a predicted model, not a curated record.